This 301-nucleotide ribosomal RNA is filed under the name uncultured bacterium. RNAcentral's name for it is "partial 16S ribosomal RNA". It matches the Rfam family "Bacterial small subunit ribosomal RNA", at positions 509 to 809 of the family's 1533-position model. The record is from RNAcentral.
CAGUAGCCGCGGGAAUACGUAGGUGGCAAGCGUUGUCCGGAAUUAUUGGGCGUAAAGGGCUCGCAGGCGGUUUCUUAAGUCUGAUGUGAAAGCCCCCGGCUCAACCGGGGAGGGUCAUUGGAAACUGGGAAACUUGAGUGCAGAAGAGGAGAGUGGAAUUCCACGUGUAGCGGUGAAAUGCGUAGAGAUGUGGAGGAACACCAGUGGCGAAGGCGACUCUCUGGUCUGUAACUGACGCUGAGGAGCGAAAGCGUGGGGAGCGAACAGGAUUAGAGACCCCCGUAGUCCCUGUCUCUUAUAA